GGCUCUGAGUGUGGUCUGACCGUGACAUCAGCAUCCCACUGAUUACCAGGGUUGAUUCAACUGAUUUGGCUGGCUGGUCUGGGGUCCAUAUACUUCAUUCAAAUCCUAAAAGCUGUGCAUUGGCGGAGGAUGACCUCCCCAGGGAGACCAGAACCACUUAAUUUUUGUCAAAUGGAAAUGAUUUUUUGCUUUUAGAAUGCCUUGAUUUGACCAGUAACUAAAGGUUGAACUGCUAUAAAAUCAAAGGUAAAAUUGUUUAACCAAAAGUCGGUUGCAAUCAUGUUUU
Molecule: small RNA, 286 nt
Filed under: Panthera tigris altaica (Amur tiger)
Lineage: Eukaryota; Metazoa; Chordata; Mammalia; Carnivora; Felidae
Description: 7SK RNA (ENSPTIG00000005101.1)
Rfam family: 7SK RNA
About the family: 7SK was discovered as an abundant small nuclear RNA in the mid-70s but a possible function has only recently been suggested. Two independent studies have found that 7SK RNA binds the CDK9/cyclin T complex (known as elongation factor P-TEFb). P-TEFb activates transcription by phosphorylating the C-terminal domain of RNA polymerase II.
Source: RNAcentral